GAUGAACGCUGGCGGCGUGCUUAAUACAUGCAAGUCGAGCGAACAGACGAGGAGCUUGCUCCUCUGAUGUUAGCGGCGGACGGGUGAGUAACACGUGGAUAACCUACCUAUAAGACUGGGAUAACUUCGGGAAACCGGAGCUAAUACCGGAUAACAUGUUGAACCGCAUGGUUCAACAGUGAAAGACGGUCUUGCUGUCACUUAUAGAUGGAUCCGCGCCGCAUUAGCUAGUUGGUAAGGUAACGGCUUACCAAGGCAACGAUGCGUAGCCGACCUGAGAGGGUGAUCGGCCACACUGGAACUGAGACACGGUCCAGACUCCUACGGGAGGCAGCAGUAGGGAAUCUUCCGCAAUGGGCGAAAGCCUGACGGAGCAACGCCGCGUGAGUGAAGAAGGUCUUCGGAUCGUAAAACUCUGUUAUUAGGGAAGAACAAAUGUGUAAGUAACUAUGCACGUCUUGACGGUACCUAAUCAGAAAGCCACGGCUAACUACGUG
Molecule: ribosomal RNA, 497 nt
Filed under: uncultured bacterium
Lineage: Bacteria
Description: partial 16S ribosomal RNA
Rfam family: Bacterial small subunit ribosomal RNA
Source: RNAcentral